This 2810-nucleotide long non-coding RNA is filed under the name Homo sapiens (human). Its description in RNAcentral is "HSALNT0306052". The record is from RNAcentral. Lineage: Eukaryota; Metazoa; Chordata; Mammalia; Primates; Hominidae.
UAGCUAUAGCUAACAGAGCUAGCUAGCUGCUCCUGUGUGCUCUGUAAUCUCCAUCUUUUGUUUUCAUUUUAGUAUCUGCUGAUUCACUUCUUUGUGUACUAUGCUGUCCUCAUACUAGGCUGUUUGUUACUUGGAUACUAAUUCUUUGUGUCAGAGCCCUUAUGGUUAUUUCAAACAGUCUCUAAUGUGAAUGUUCAAAGUCCACUUAAAAAUAGAGUAUUCUUAUAAGGAUUUGCCAUCUCCAAUGUUCUGCAAAGUGCCUACUGCUAAUAGUUAGCAUGACAGGUUGCUAAAUUAUGUUUCCACUAAUGUGCCAGGGCACAGUAGAUAAGAAAUUCUAAAGUAAGGUGCUCAAGCAGAGUGAGCUAAAAAAUCCAGAGAAACGGUUUCACAUCUCUUGUAACCAUCAGCCAAUUUCAGAGGAUAAAAUAUUUGGAGAGUGGCUAUGGAAGGAAAAUAUUUAAGAGAUUUAUCUGGUGUAGAGCUGUUGGACUUAGCAAAUAAAAAUACAGGAUGUCCAGUUGAAACCUCCUUUGCAAAAAAUAUGAGAGCAAGAGAAGUCUAGCAUGUCUGACUCAAUUUUGCUUCUAGCCUCAUAGUCUGGCUGUCCUCGCUCAUUCCUGGUUGUAGGCUAAGCUAAGUACAGGAGAAAUUUAGUUUAUAGUUUAACUUUGAAGCAAGGAUGAUAAUAUCCCGCCCUAAAACUGACCCCUUCCUUGUUCUAAGAAUGAAACUGCCUUUGUAAAACCACAAGAUUAGGAUUAUGGGAGAGGCCUGAAUUGUGCUAAGAUAUAGGCAAGGUUAAAUGAUUACCAGCCACUGUUUCCUAGCUUGCUUUUCUAUAACCCCCACUUCUCAGGAGUUAUGUGGCCUGAGGUCACAAGAUUUGUGUCUUUGCCAAUUGCUCCUACAGAUAACACCACUUAUCUAUAUGAGGUUCUACCAUCUUAGGUAGAACUUAAGAUUAGUCUUUUGAGAUGUUUUUCAGACUUCUGCAUUCAGGCAACUGACUGACUCCACUUGGGCCUGUGACUCAUGAGUCAACUGGUCCUGUGGGCCCCACCCAGAGGCUGACUUGGGACAUGAGGACUAUUUUUCACAUUCCUAUGAUUUCAUCCCCAAAUGAUCAGCAGCACCCAUUCCCCAGCCCCCUGCCUACCACAUUAUCCAUAAAAACCCUAGCCUCUGAGUUCUAAGGGAGGCUAAUUUGAGUAAUAAAUAAAUCCACUUUCCUAACCCUGUGUUAAUUAAACACUUUCUCUACUGCAAUACUGCCAUGUUUCAGUAUAUUGAUUUUAUCCAUGCAUCAGGCAAGAAGAACCUGUUGGGUGAUUACACAGUUACAUUGAAUUUCAGAUUAUGGUACAGAAAGAAGUAUAUUUAGUGUUUGUCUCUGGUUCCUACCACAGAGUUCCUAAAAUUCUUGGAUUUUCUUGAGUGAUUGGAAUGUUUUUUGUUAUUCUAAAAAAGUCUCUUUUGAUCACAUUUUAGUUUGUCUAAAAAUGUAAUGGAGGUAGAGUCUCUAGCCUCAAGACGGGGCUGGUCACCAGGAAGAUAAAGUGAUUAGAAGGCUGAAACUUUGAAUCCCACCCCUGGACCUCCUGGAAGUUGGGGGGAGAAGGAUGAUUAAAUGCUAUAAAAACUUUUGAGUUGCUGAGUUUUGGGGUUGGUGAACACAUCCAGAUGCUCUGAGGAUUGCAAACCCGGAAAGUAUGGAAGCUCUGUGCACCUCCCAGCUCGCCCAGUACCUUGCCCCAUGCCUCUCUUUCAUUUCGCUGUUCCUGAGAUGUAUCCUUUAUAAUAAGCUAGUAAAAGUAAGUAUUAAAUUAAGCUUAGCCUAAAGCUGCCUCCUUGCAAAUUUUAAGUUUGGCCCAAAGGUUUCUCCAUAUGUCAUGAACUGUAACCUAACUGAUAUGUAAACAUUCUGUAACCUACUCCUGUGACAAUCACUGAGCUUCAGCUAAUCAAGAGUGGGUGACUGUUCAAACUAGGCUCAAAUAAAGCAUAUACCAAGCUGUAACCAAUCUAGCUGUUUCUGUAACUCACUUUUGUUUUCUGUAUGUCACUUUCUUUUUUCUGUCCAUAAAUCCUCUCCUAUCAUGCAACAGCAGCAGAGUCUCUCUGAACCUAUUCUUGGUCAAAGGCUGCUUGAUUUGCAGAUUUUUCUUUUCUCAGUUAAACAUUGUGAAAUUUAAUUUGUCUAAGGUUUCUCUUUUAACAUAAGUCAACUGUUUUCCUGAGUUCUUUCUUGCAAAUUAUUGAACCUGAGGAGGUGGCAAUAGGAACCUCUAAUUUAUAGUCAUUCAGUCAGAAGUACAGAAAACCUGGGACUUGCGGCUGGUUUCUGAAGUGGGGGCAGCCUUGUGGUCCUGAGACCUUAUGCUGUCGUUAUAGGAGUUAAAAAGAAAUUAUUUAGGCAGCUAGUGAGGGUAAGGAAAGUCCUUGGUAAGGUUUUCCUUUUAAUGAAAAGCAGCCCCCAAAUUAUUUCCUUUUCUAAUAAAGGGCAGCCUGUAAAAUUGAGCUGCAGACCGAUAAGCAAGCUGGGAGCUUGCACUGGUGAAUGCGGCCGUUGUGCCAAUGGGAAAAGGCUACCUGGGAGUAGGCAUGUUCAAAAUGGUGGCUCCAUCUUCCCUUCUCUUUGCCAAGCCACGUGUACAGUAAGGCGCAGACGAGAUGGCACCGGCCAAGUGGAAAGCCCAUUUGGAUAAUAAGAUCAGGAUGGGUUGGUCACCCUUCUCCCAGUGCUAUUUAAAUGUCACACCUGAUCCAACCAAUCUGUGGGCCCUAUGUAAAUCAGACACCACCUCUUC